GGGCGCUUAGCUCAGCGGGAGAGCGCCGCCCUUACAAGGCGGAGGUCGGUGGUUCGAAACCACCAGCGCCCA
Molecule: transfer RNA, 72 nt
Filed under: Actinomycetota bacterium
Lineage: Bacteria; Bacillati; Actinomycetota
Also listed under: 1 other name
Description: tRNA-Val
Rfam family: tRNA
About the family: Transfer RNA (tRNA) molecules are approximately 80 nucleotides in length. Their secondary structure includes four short double-helical elements and three loops (D, anti-codon, and T loops).
Source: RNAcentral